This is a long non-coding RNA of Mangifera indica (mango), 159 nucleotides long. RefSeq lists it as uncharacterized. The record is from RefSeq and is a predicted model, not a curated record. Lineage: Eukaryota; Viridiplantae; Streptophyta; Magnoliopsida; Sapindales; Anacardiaceae. The transcript is spliced from 2 exons.
GUCCCACAUCUCCAUUGGCUGACCCAAUCACCACCGAGUACGAGAGCUAGGGAUUCUGUCGUUGUUCAGAAGAAGUCUUCAUCGGUAAAUGGUCAACGACAGUUUUACUUUGUCAAUACUCUAGAAUGUGAUAUAAUAUAUGUGUUUGAUGUUGAAAUA